RNAcentral lists this ribosomal RNA (490 nucleotides) under Osteocephalus mimeticus (Henle's slender-legged treefrog). RNAcentral describes it as "partial 12S ribosomal RNA". It matches the Rfam family "Bacterial small subunit ribosomal RNA", at positions 794 to 1522 of the family's 1533-position model. Lineage: Eukaryota; Metazoa; Chordata; Amphibia; Anura; Hylidae. The record is from RNAcentral.
GCUCAACCGUAAACUUUAAAUUACACCCAUCUCGCCCGGGAACUACGAGCAAAGCUUAAAACCCAAAGGACUUGACGGUACCCCACAUCCACCUAGAGGAGCCUGUCCUAUAAUCGAUAACCCCCGCUUAACCUCACCAUUUUUAGCUUAUCAGCCUGUAUACCUCCGUCGUCAGCUUACCACGUGAGCGACCCUCAGUAAGCUUGAUGUCCAUACGCCAACACGUCAGGUCAAGGUGCAGCAAAUAAAAUGGGAAGAGAUGGGCUACACUCUCUAUUCUAGAAAACACGGAAGACUAUUUAUGAAACCUAGUCAAAAGGCGGAUUUAGUAGUAAAAAGAGACAAGAGUGCUCUUUUUAACAUGGCACUGGGGUGUGUACACACCGCCCGUCACCCUCUUCGAAGCUAACACAAAGUUUUUAACACACUUAAGCACUACAGAAGAGGCAAGUCGUAACAUGGUAAGUAUACCGGAAGGUGUGCUUGGAAA